AGCAGCCGCGGUAAUUCCAGCUCCAAUAGCGUAUAUUAAAGUUGUUGCAGUUAAAAAGCUCGUAGUUGAAUUUCGGGAUUAGUAAGUUGGUCGUGCCCCCGGUAUGUACUGGCUUUACUGGUUCCUCCUUCUUGAAGAACUGUAAUGUCAUUAAUUUGGUGUUGCAGGGAAACAGGGCUGUUACUUUGAAAAAAUUAGAGUGUUUAAAGCAGGCUAACGCUUGAAUACAUUAGCAUGGAAUAAUGAAAUAGGACGUUUGAUCCUAUUUUGUUGGUUUCUAGGAUUGACGUAAUGAUUAAUAGGGAUAGUUGGGGGCAUUAGUAUUCAAUUGUCAGAGGUGAAAUUCUUGGAUUUAUUGAAGACUAACUACUGCGAAAGCAUUUGCCAGGGAUGUUUUCAUUAAUCAAGAACGAAAGUUAGGGGAUCGAAGACGAUCAGAUACCGUCGUAGUCUUAACCAUAAACUAUGCCGACUAGGGAUCGGAUGAUGUUAAUUUUUUAAUGACUCAUUCGGCGCCUUA
This 520-nucleotide ribosomal RNA is filed under the name uncultured Glomus. RNAcentral describes it as "SSU rRNA". It matches the Rfam family "Eukaryotic small subunit ribosomal RNA", at positions 569 to 1090 of the family's 1831-position model. Lineage: Eukaryota; Fungi; Glomeromycota; Glomeromycetes; Glomerales; Glomeraceae. The record is from RNAcentral.